RNAcentral lists this unclassified non-coding RNA (90 nucleotides) under Pseudomonas thivervalensis. Lineage: Bacteria; Pseudomonadati; Pseudomonadota; Gammaproteobacteria; Pseudomonadales; Pseudomonadaceae. The record is from RNAcentral.
UGUGGGAGCGAGCCUGCUCGCGAUGGCGGUGUGUCAGUCAGCAUCCCUGUUGGAUGUGCUGGCGUCAUCGCGAGCAGGCUCGCUCCCACA